GACGAACGCUGGCGGCGUGCCUAAUACAUGCAAGUUGAGCGCUGAAGGUUGGUACUUGUACCAACUAGAUGAGCAGCGAACGGGUGAGUAACGCGUGGGGAAUCUGCCUUUGAGCGGGGGAUAACAUUUGGAAACGAAUGCUAAUACCGCAUAAAAACUUUAAACACAAGUUUUAAGUUUGAAAGAUGCAAUUGCAUCACUCAAAGAUGAUCCCGCGUUGUAUUAGCUAGUUGGUGAGGUAAAGGCUCACCAAGGCGAUGAUACAUAGCCGACCUGAGAGGGUGAUCGGCCACACUGGAACUGAGACAAGGUCAAGACACCUAAGGGAGGAAGAAGGAGGGAAUGUUCGGCAAUGGGAGAAAGCCUGACGGAGCAACGCCGCGUGAGGGAUGAAGGUGUUCGGAACGUAAAACUCUGUUAUUAGGGAAGAACAAAAGUGUAAGUAACUAUGCACGUCUUGACGGGACCUAAUCAGAAAGCCACGGCUAACUACGUG
Molecule: ribosomal RNA, 496 nt
Filed under: uncultured bacterium
Lineage: Bacteria
Description: partial 16S ribosomal RNA
Rfam family: Bacterial small subunit ribosomal RNA
Source: RNAcentral